This 225-nucleotide ribosomal RNA is filed under the name uncultured bacterium. RNAcentral's name for it is "partial 16S ribosomal RNA". It matches the Rfam family "Bacterial small subunit ribosomal RNA", at positions 109 to 334 of the family's 1533-position model. The record is from RNAcentral.
AGUAACGCGUGGGUAACCUGCCUUGUACUGGGGGACAACAGUUAGAAAUGACUGCUAAUACCGCAUAAGCGCACAGUAUCGCAUGAUACAGUGUGAAAAACUCCGGUGGUACAAGAUGGACCCGCGUCUGAUUAGCUAGUUGGUGAGGUAGCGGCCCACCAAGGCAACGAUCAGUAGCCGACCUGAGAGGGUGACCGGCCACAUUGGGACUGAGACACGGUCCAA